This 254-nucleotide ribosomal RNA is filed under the name uncultured bacterium. RNAcentral describes it as "partial 16S ribosomal RNA". It matches the Rfam family "Bacterial small subunit ribosomal RNA", at positions 524 to 777 of the family's 1533-position model. The record is from RNAcentral.
UACGUAGGGGGCAAGCGUUGUCCGGAUUUAUUGGGCGUAAAGAGCGUGUAGGCGGCCAGGUAGGUCUGCUGUGAAAACUCGAGGCUCAACCUCGAGACGUCGGCGGAAACCAUCUGGCUAGAGUCCGGAAGAGGAGAGUGGAAUUCCUGGUGUAGCGGUGAAAUGCGCAGAUAUCGGGAGGAACACCAGCGGCGAAGGCGGCACUCUGGGCUGGAACUGACGCUGAGGAGCGAAAGCGUGGGUAGCAAACGAGG